AGAGUUUGAUCCUGGCUCAGGAUGAACGCUGGCGGCGUGCUUAACACAUGCAAGUCGAACGCACCUUCGGGUGAGUGGCGGACGGGUGAGUAACGCGUGGGAAUCUGCCCUCAGGAGGGGGAUAACGGCUGGAAACGGCCGCUAAUACCCCAUAUGCCGAGAGGUGAAAUGAAUUUCGCCUGAGGAUGAGCCCGCGUCUGAUUAGCUAGUUGGUGGGGUAAUGGCCCACCAAGGCGACGAUCAGUAGCUGGUCUGAGAGGAUGAUCAGCCACACUGGGACUGAGACACGGCCCAGACUCCUACGGGAGGCAGCAGUGGGGAAUUUUCCGCAAUGGGCGAAAGCCUGACGGAGCAACGCCGCGUGAGGGAUGAAGGCCUCUGGGCUGUAAACCUCUUUUCUCAAGGAAGAAGACAUGACGGUACUUGAGGAAUAAGCCACGGCUAAUUCCGUGCCAGCAGCCGCGGUAAUACGGGAGUGGCAAGCGUUAUCCGGAAUUAUUGGGCGUAAAGCGUCCGCAGGCGGCCUUGUAAGUCUGUCGUUAAAGCGUGGAGCUUAACUCCAUUUAAGCGAUGGAAACUACAAGGCUUGAGUGUGGUAGGGGCAGAGGGAAUUCCCGGUGUAGCGGUGAAAUGCGUAGAUAUCGGGAAGAACACCAGUGGCGAAGGCGCUCUGCUGGGCCAUAACUGACGCUCAUGGACGAAAGCCAGGGGAGCGAAAGGGAUUAGAUACCCCUGUAGUCCUGGCCGUAAACGAUGAACACUAGGUGUCGGGGGAAUCGACCCCCUCGGUGUCGUAGCUAACGCGUUAAGUGUUCCGCCUGGGGAGUACGCACGCAAGUGUGAAACUCAAAGGAAUUGACGGGGGCCCGCACAAGCGGUGGAGUAUGUGGUUUAAUUCGAUGCAACGCGAAGAACCUUACCAGGGUUUGACAUCCUGCGAAUCCCUUGGAAACUUGGGAGUGCCUUCGGGAGCGCAGAGACAGGUGGUGCAUGGCUGUCGUCAGCUCGUGUCGUGAGAUGUUGGGUUAAGUCCCGCAACGAGCGCAACCCACGUCUUUAGUUGCCAGCAUUCAGUUGGGCACUCUAGAGAGACCGCCGGUGAUAAACCGGAGGAAGGUGUGGAUGACGUCAAGUCAUCAUGCCCCUUACAUCCUGGGCUACACACGUACUACAAUGCUACGGACAAAGGGCAGCAAGCUCGCGAGAGUUAGCAAAUCCCAUAAACCGUGGCUCAGUUCAGAUCGUAGGCUGCAACUCGCCUACGUGAAGGAGGAAUCGUUAGUAAUCGCAGGUCAGCAUACUGCGGUGAAUACGUUCCCGGGCCUUGUACACACCGCCCGUCACACCAUGGAAGUUGGCCAUGCCCGAAGUCGUUACUCCAACCCUUGUGGAGGAGGACGCCGAAGGUGGGGCUGAUGACUGGGGUGAAGUCGUAACAAGGUA
RNAcentral lists this ribosomal RNA (1443 nucleotides) under metagenome. RNAcentral's name for it is "bacterial SSU rRNA". It matches the Rfam family "Bacterial small subunit ribosomal RNA". The record is from RNAcentral.